RNAcentral lists this ribosomal RNA (479 nucleotides) under uncultured bacterium. RNAcentral's name for it is "partial 16S ribosomal RNA". It matches the Rfam family "Bacterial small subunit ribosomal RNA", at positions 28 to 507 of the family's 1533-position model. The record is from RNAcentral.
GAUGAACGCUAGCGGGAGGCCUAACACAUGCAAGCCGAGCGGUAUUGUUUCUUCGGAAAUGAGAGAGCGGCGUACGGGUGCGUAACACGUGUGCAACCUGCCUUUAUCUGGGGGAUAGCCUUUCGAAAGGAAGAUUAAUACUCCAUAAUAUAUUGAACGGCAUCGUUUAAUAUUGAAAGCUCCGGCGGAUAGAGAUGGGCACGCGCAAGAUUAGCUAGUUGGUGAGGUAACGGCUCACCAAGGCGAUGAUCUUUAGGGGGCCUGAGAGGGUGAUCCCCCACACUGGUACUGAGACACGGACCAGACUCCUACGGGGGGCAGCAGUGAGGAAUAUUGGUCAAUGGGUGCAAGCCUGAACCAGCCAUCCCGCGUGAAGGACGACUGCCCUAUGGGUUGUAAACUUCUUUUGUAUAGGGAUAAACCUACCCUCGUGAGGGUAGCUGAAGGUACUAUACGAAUAAGCACCGGCUAACUCCGUG